RNAcentral lists this long non-coding RNA (3883 nucleotides) under Homo sapiens (human). RNAcentral describes it as "HSALNT0344585". Lineage: Eukaryota; Metazoa; Chordata; Mammalia; Primates; Hominidae. The record is from RNAcentral.
UUAUUAUCAUCUACAAUCCCCCCUGGACUGCACUUUUAAAGGAGGUCAAGAAUGGAUCUGAAGCAACUUUCUUAUCUCCCAUGUGCCCUACCGGGGAAGGCGCAAGAUGCCCUCUGAAAGGGUGACCUAUCCCAGCAGUUCUAAGCCGCCGUUGCGUGUUUUUAGUUAUUAAUAGGACUUCCAGAACACCGCUCCGUGGCGGUGGUUUUCUAAGUGACGCUUUUUUACAAAAGAGGUUUUUUCAGAAGCGGCGACACCAUAGAACCGUAUUUAGUAAGUAACAUUUUGAGAAGAGUAAAGCUUCCUGGAGAAAGUCAAGAAAUAACUUGCGAUAAUUCCCAACACUCAAGAAACUCGGCAGCUUUUAAAAAUAGAGCGUGUGCAAGUACAGUGUCUCUCCAGCAGUGGUCUACACUCGAGAAACUCGGCAGCGUUUAAAAAUAGAGCCUGUGCGAGUGCAGCGUCUCUCCAACAUUGGUCUACACUCGAGAAACUCGGCAGCGUUUAAAAAUAGAGCCUAUGCGAGUGCAGCGUCUCUCCAACAGUGGUCUACACUCGAGAAACUCGGCAGCUUUUAAAAAUAGAGCGUGUGCGAGUGCAGCGUCUCUCCAACAGUGGUCUACACUCGAGAAACUCGGCAGCUUUUAAAAAUAGAGCGUGUGCGAGUGCAGCGUCUCUCCAACAGUGGUCUACACUCGAGAAACUCGGCAGCGUUUAAAAAUAGAGCCUGUACGAGUGCAGCGUCUCUCCAACAGUGGUCUACACUCGAGAAACUCGGCAGCUUUUAAAAAUAGAGCGUGUGCAAGUACAGCGUCUCUCCAACAGUGGUCUACACUCGAGAAACUCGGCAGCGUUUAAAAAUAGAGCCUGUACGAGUGCAGCGUCUCUCCAACAGUGGUCUACACUCGAGAAACUCAGCAGCUUUUAAAAAUAGAGCGUGUGCAAGUACAGCGUCUCUCCAACAGUGGUCUACACUCGAGAAACUCGGCAGCGUUUAAAAAUAGAGCCUGUGCGAGUGCAGCGUCUCUCCAACGGUGGUCUACACUCGAGAAACUUGGCAGCUUUUAAAAAUAGAGCGUGUGCGAGUGCAGCCUCUCUCCAACAGUGGUCUACACUCGAGAAACUUCGCAGCUUUUAAAAAUAGAGGCUGUGCGAGUGCAGCGUCUCUCCAACAGUGGUCUACACUCGAGACACUUGGCAGCUUUUAAAAAUAGAGCGUGUGUGAGUGCAGCGUCUCUCCCACAGUGGUCUACACUCGAGACACUCGGCAGCUUUUAAAAAUAGAGCGUGUGCGAGUGCAGCGUCUCCCCAACAGUGGUCUACACUCGAGAAACUCAGCAGCGUUUAAAAAUAGAGCCUGUACGAGUGCAGCGUCUCUCCAACAGUGGUCUACACUCGAGAAACUCGGCAGCUUUUAAAAAUAGAGCGUGUGCGAGUGCAGCGUCUCUCCAACAGUGGUCUACACUCGAGAAACUUGGCAGCGUUUAAAAAUAGAGCCUGUGCGAGUGCAGCGUCUCUCCAACGGUGGUCUACACUCGAGAAACUUGGCAGCUUUUAAAAAUAGAGCGUGUGCGAGUGCAGCGUCUCUCCAACAGUGGUCUACACUCGAGAAACUCGGCAGCUUUUAAAAAUAGAGCGUGUGCGAGUGCAGCGUCUCUCCAACAGUGGUCUACACUCGAGACACUCGGCAGCGUUUAAAAAUAGAGGCUGUGCGAGUGCAGCGUCUCUCCAACAGUGGUCUACACUCGAGACACUCGGCAGCGUUUAAAAAUAGAGCGUGUGCGAGUGCAGCGUCUCUCCAACAGUGGUCUACACUCGAGACACUUGGCAGCUUUUAAAAAUACAGCGUGCGUGAGUGCAGUGUCUAUCCCAUAGUGGUCUACACUCGAGAAACUCGGCAGCUUUAAAAAUAGAGCGUGUGCGAGUACAGCGUCUCUCCCACAGUGGUCUACACUCGAGAAACUCGGUAGCGUUUAAAAAUAGAGCCUGUGCGAGUGCAGCGUCUCUCCCACAGUGGUCUACACUCGAGAAACUCGGCAGCUUUUAAAAAUAGAGCGUGUGCGAGUGCAGCGUCUCUCCAACAGUGGUCUACACUCGAGACACUCGGCAGCGUUUAAAAAUAGAGCGUGUGCAAGUGCAGCAUCUCUCCAACAGUGGUCUACACUCGAGAAACUCGGCAGCUUUUAAAAAUAGAGCGUGUGCGAGUGCAGCGUCUCUCCAACAGUGGUCUACACUCGAGACACUCGGCAGCGUUUAAAAAUAGAGCCUGUGCGAGUGCAGCGUCUCUCCAACAGUGGUCUACACUGGAGAAACUCGGCAGCUUUAAAAAUAGAGCGUGUGUGAGUGCAGCGUCUCUCCAACAGUGGUCUACACUCGAGACACUCGGCAGCGUUUAAAAAUAGAGCGUGUGCGAGUGCAGCGUCUCUCCAACAGUGGUCUACACUCGAGAAACUCGGCAGCUUUUAAAAAUAGAGGCUGUGCGAGUGCAGCGUCUCUCCAACAGUGGUCUACACUCGAGAAACUCGGCAGCUUUUAAAAAUAGAGCCUGUGCGAGUGCAGCGUCUCUCCAACAGUGGUCUACACUCGAGAAACUUCGCAGCUUUUAAAAAUAGAGGCUGUGCGAGUGCAGCGUCUCUCCAACAGUGGUCUACACUCGAGACACUUGGCAGCGUUUAAAAAUAGAGGCUGUGCGAGUGCAGCGUGUCUCCAACAGUGGUCUACACUCGAGACACUCGGCAGCGUUUAAAAAUACAGGCUGUGCGAGUGCAGCGUCUCUCCAACAGUGGUCUACACUCGAGACACUCGGCAGCGUUUAAAAAUAGAGCGUGUGCGAGUGCAGCGUCUCUCCAACAGUGGUCUACACUCGAGAAACUCGGCAGCUUUUAAAAAUAGAGCGUGUGUGAGUGCAGCGUCUCUCCAACAGUGGUCUACACUCGAGACACUCGUCAGUGUUAAAAAAUAGAGCGUGUGCGAGUGCAGCGUCUCUCCCACAGUGGUCUACACUCGAGACACUCAGCAGCUUUUAAAAAUAGAGCGUGUGUGAGUGCAGCGUCUCUCCAACAGUGGUCUACACUCGAGACACUCGUCAGCGUUUAAAAAUAGAGCGUGUGCGAGUGCAGCGUCUCUCCAACAGUGGUCUACACUCGAGAAACUCGGCAGCUUUUAAAAAUAGAGCGUGUGUGAGUGCAGCGUCUCUCCAACAGUGGUCUACACUCGAGACACUCGUCAGUGUUUAAAAAUAGAGCGUGUGCGAGUGCAGCGUCUCUCCAACAGUGGUCUACACUCGAGACACUCGUCAGCGUUUAAAAAUAGAGCGUGUGUGAGUGCAGCGUCUCUCCAACAGUCUACAAAUGGCUUUGCUGCUUUUCAUUUCUUUGCAACUCUUGAAGGGUCCUGUUUCAAACUUUGAUUUCUCCAAAUCGUGGCAACAACAUGAAAUAAAAAGGUUGGUGUUUAGGUUGUCAAAGAAUGUAUAGCUUUAUCAGUUCAGCUUUACUUUCCUGGAUUUAUUUUCAAAACCAUCUUCAUAUUGUAUUUCUCCCACAGGGCUCCCCACUGUCCAUAUCUAGUUCACCCAGAUUGUUAGUGACCUUCGUUUCUUCGUAUCUAGUAUAUGCCAGUUAGCAAAAUGGCAGCCCUCUUCACGCCUUGGAUUCUAGAAAAGGCUGUUCCUGACUUUGAAGUUUAGGCCUCCACAGGAGGCCUGUUGUCAGGGCCGGUUCGUUACCUCCAGUUUAUCACCUAGGGGAACAGAUUCCCCCGCCGAUGUCGAAAGGCAGUUCUCUCAUGUUACGAAAAUGGGAUCUGUGGCUAUAAGUUAAAUACUGCCAAGCAACAUACUAAGUUACCACUUUCAAAAUGAAAAUUGAGUGGUUCCUAUUCG